RNAcentral lists this transfer RNA (111 nucleotides) under Caudoviricetes sp. Its description in RNAcentral is "tRNA-OTHER". It matches the Rfam family "tRNA". Rfam says of the family: Transfer RNA (tRNA) molecules are approximately 80 nucleotides in length. Their secondary structure includes four short double-helical elements and three loops (D, anti-codon, and T loops). Further hydrogen bonds mediate the characteristic L-shaped molecular structure. tRNAs have two regions of fundamental functional importance: the anti-codon, which is responsible for specific mRNA codon recognition, and the 3' end, to which the tRNAs corresponding amino acid is attached (by aminoacyl-tRNA synthetases). tRNAs cope with the degeneracy of the genetic code in two manners: having more than one tRNA (with a specific anti-codon) for a particular amino acid; and 'wobble' base-pairing, i.e. permitting non-standard base-pairing at the 3rd anti-codon position. Lineage: Duplodnaviria; Heunggongvirae; Uroviricota; Caudoviricetes. The record is from RNAcentral.
GGGGCGGUGGCCGAGCGGUCGAUGGCAGCGGACUCUAAAUCCGAUCGGGGAGAUGAUGUGGUGCCCGAGAAGCCCUCUCCCUCGCGGGUUCAAACCCCGCCCGCCCCGCCA